RNAcentral lists this ribosomal RNA (538 nucleotides) under uncultured fungus. RNAcentral's name for it is "eukaryotic LSU rRNA". The stretch from base 136 to 289 matches the Rfam family "5.8S ribosomal RNA". The record is from RNAcentral. Lineage: Eukaryota; Fungi.
UACACCUGUUGCUUUGGCGGGCCCACCGGGGCCACCUGGUCGCCGGGGGGACAUCUGUCCCCGGGCCCGCGCCCGCCGAAGCGCUCUGUGAACCCUGAUGAAGAUGGGCUGUCUGAGUACUAUGAAAAUUGUCAAAACUUUCAACAAUGGAUCUCUUGGUUCCGGCAUCGAUGAAGAACGCAGCGAAAUGCGAUAAGUAAUGUGAAUUGCAGAAUUCCGUGAAUCAUCGAAUCUUUGAACGCACAUUGCGCCCCCUGGCAUUCCGGGGGGCAUGCCUGUCCGAGCGUCAUUUCUGCCCUCAAGCACGGCUUGUGUGUUGGGUGCGGUCCCCCCGGGGACCUGCCCGAAAGGCAGCGGCGACGUCCGUCUGGUCCUCGAGCGUAUGGGGCUUUGUCACUCGCUCGGGAAGGACUGGCGGGGGUUGGUCACCACCAAAAUUUUACCACGGUUGACCUCGGAUCAGGUAGGAGUUACCCGCUGAACUUAAGCAUAUCAAUAAGCGGAGGAAAAGAAACCAACAGGGAUUGCCCUAGUAACG